CCAUUCAGAUGCUUGGCCAAAGGUCUGUUCUCCAAAGUAGGAUGUCAUUUUCUAACUUUGUUGUGUUCACAAGGUUUUAAUUCAUAGAGUUGUAAUGUAACGUGCUGCUUUAGCUACCAACAAUUCUUCGUGUCUACUUGAAAAUGCCAACUAGCUCGUGCCGCACUAUUCCGAUCGGCGUGGGCCUUAAGUUGACGUAAACCUUGAGGAUGAACUCGCACUGAAUCGUGCAAAUUUCAUGUUGCUCUUACGACUUAAGUCACAUGUCGCCCACUUUUAAAUACAAAUCAAUACAGCCACCGUUGGAUGAGGCCACAAAGUAGCGCCUCCAUCAGGGUCAGAGCGGCUGGGAGGACUGGGAAACCCCCUGAAAGGUGGGCAGUGAUUCACAGGACACACAUCCAUACACUCGGGCUUUGAGUCAAGUGGGAGGAAAAGGAAGGAAUCCCUCUCAGGUUCUGGGAGCACAUGCAACUCCCAGAAGCAACCCUCCAACCUGUUGUUGUUUUCUUCUGAACAUCUUGGAGAUGCUCCUGUUGAAGGGCACCAUGGUGGACGAGAAGCCACUCCACAUACCGGGAUGAUCAAUGUGACACUGGAAUGUUUUCGAAUCAUUUUCCGGGCAGUUGUUCCUGUCCCCCGAUGAUCGCCCCACCAAUGGCGGUAAAGCAGCAGUGGGCGAAUGUUCGUGCACUGAUCUGUGACAUGACCAGCAACCCUCCCUCCAGGAAAGAAAAAAAGCUCCAUUAGCUCCUGUACCUCCUCCCAUCUCCUCAUUCAGCGUGCACUUCCCCUUUAAAGUAUCAAGAGGAACUGAGCCGGCUCCCCUCGCCGCCUCUCCUCCAGUUUGUGGCGAGGGUUUGAACAGGCAGCCCGUUUUCACUGAAAGGAGAAAAGAGACAAGAAAAGAAUCGGAUUCUUUCGACAUGACCCACUGGAGGAUGAAGAAAGGACUCACGACUGGAAUGUUCGCACCAAGGGUCACUGUUCCUCCUCGGGACUAACGCCUGGCCAACGGGACAGA
This 1024-nucleotide long non-coding RNA is filed under the name Takifugu rubripes (torafugu). RNAcentral describes it as "lncRNA (ENSTRUG00000031748.1)". Lineage: Eukaryota; Metazoa; Chordata; Actinopteri; Tetraodontiformes; Tetraodontidae. The record is from RNAcentral.